GGAGAUUUAGCUCAACAGCAUAAGCACCUGCCUUACAAGCAGGCAGCCGUGAGUUCAAUCCCCG
This 64-nucleotide transfer RNA is filed under the name Cavia porcellus (domestic guinea pig). It matches the Rfam family "tRNA", at positions 1 to 62 of the family's 71-position model. Rfam says of the family: Transfer RNA (tRNA) molecules are approximately 80 nucleotides in length. Their secondary structure includes four short double-helical elements and three loops (D, anti-codon, and T loops). The record is from Rfam by way of RNAcentral. Lineage: Eukaryota; Metazoa; Chordata; Mammalia; Rodentia; Caviidae.